Cryptomeria japonica (Japanese cedar) is the source of this 122-nucleotide small nuclear RNA. Lineage: Eukaryota; Viridiplantae; Streptophyta; Pinopsida; Cupressales; Cupressaceae. The record is from RefSeq and is a predicted model, not a curated record.
GUGUUCAUAGAAAAGGAGAGAUGAUUGGCAUUUCCUUUGAUAAGGAUGAGAACAAUCUUUAGACUAUUCCUUCACAUAUGGUUAAGGCUAUUUACUACUAGUGGAUCUUACCCAGUUUUUUG